GCGUCUGGCCAUUUUUUGUACAGUGUGGGCGAUUCAGAGCAUGUGGGAACGGCAACUGUGUGUAGAGCCGUUCGUACAGUAUGUCUGGCACUUAAACAGUUCUUACCCACAUUUGUGCAGUUCCCUGGCCAUAAACCUCUGCUUGUUAUUAAAGAUGAAUUCCACAGAGUGGCAGGGUUUCCAAAUGUAAUUGGGUGCAUUGAUGGCACUCACAUUCCUAUUAAAGCUCCACCAAUAAAUGAGGGAGACUAUGUUAAUAUGAAAUCUAUUCAUAGUAUCAAUGUGCAGGUAACAACUUAAUUUUUUCCCUUCUUAAAAUCAUUAAAGUCAUUACUUUUUCCACUAACUAGGUAAUAUGUGAGGCAACCCAAAUCAUUACCAAUGUCGAGGCAAAAUGGCCAGGAUCUGUGCAUGAUGCCAGAAUUUUCCGCGAGUCAUCAUUAUGCCAGACAUUUCAGCAGGGACAGUACAAUGGUUACUUGCUGGGGGACAGAGGAUACCCUUGUCUGCCCUAUUUAAUGACACCCUACCCUGAACCUGAGCCUGGACCACAGACACGGUUUAACCUGGCUCACAGCCGAACACGGGCCAAGGUGGAGAUGACUAUAGGGAUCCUCAAAUCUCGGUUUCAGUGUCUGUGUGGGCUCCGGGUUAGUCCAGAGAGGGCAUGCGACAUUAUAGUGGCUUGUGUUGUGCUUCACAAUAUUGCCACUAUAAGAGGAGAGAGCCACCCUCCUUGUAUUGAGGAAGAUGGCCCAGAGGAACACCUACAGAUUUUAGAGGCCAACAGAGACAGAAGACUUUUGAGAGACAGGAUCUGUCAAAAUUACUUUUAUUAAUUUUUUUGCACUGGUCUGCCAGGCAGUUUAUUUCUUUGUUUCCUGAA
Tachysurus vachellii is the source of this 886-nucleotide long non-coding RNA. RefSeq lists it as uncharacterized. Lineage: Eukaryota; Metazoa; Chordata; Actinopteri; Siluriformes; Bagridae. The transcript is spliced from 3 exons. The record is from RefSeq and is a predicted model, not a curated record.